CCUCUCUCCCCUCUCUGCCUCAGAGGAUCUGCAGUUUCAAAAAGCCGAUUGAGCACGGCGUGAGGCUGACGACCGGGGGGGGGCUACUACCGCCACUAGAGAGCAGUCCUCGUUCCGUGCCCCGCAAGGAGGAGCCCCAGUGGAACCCACAGCGCAUCGCAUCCCCGCUUUCCCCCCCAUAUCCCCAGCAUCUCGCACUCCCCGUGGAUGUCACCAGCAUCGCUGUUUCAGGGCUGGGGAUGGUACUCCCAGCUCAGCCGGGCGCUUUCAUUCAUAAAAUUGCAAGAUUGCAUCCAUGAAUGUGUGCAUAAUGAACCCAGAAGGAAUGCGGCACUAAAAGAAGCCUUUGUAAUGUUGCUAUUUUAAGGAGACCCUUGGGUAUGGCACGUGUUGAACUGAGUUUCUCUAACAUCUUACAACAAACCAAAAUGUUUAGAUCCUCCCACUGAUGUAAAACAUCAUAAAAAAAUACAUAAUCAAUCUAAACUGGCUAUGGUUUUGACCAGGAAUUAUUGCUCUUGUGAAUUGGCUCUGUAUUGUACCUAACUUUUACAUGGCCUAAUAAUAAACAUCUCCUCCUCCCAGCUGGAUGAAUGUUUCCCUUCUGGUGGAGAUGAGAUCCCAGCCUGGAUAAAACACCUCUUGUCCUUUCUCUUCUGGGUCACUCAGGUUCAGUGAAACAUCACGACUUACAUCAGCCAAAGCCUUUGAUCAGGGGAGGGAAAGGUCUGACAUGGAUGGGGUUGACAGCCACGCUGCAAAAAUCCCUCAUUGUGCAAGAAGCCAGUCCAAUGACCAAGUGUCACCAAGGGUGAGACAGCCUUUUCUGCUCUGUUUUCACUUGGCUAUUGCUGGUGUUUUGUUUGCAAAGUCAAGGCCAAAAUAUACAAGCAGCAGCUUUGGACACGUUGCGUUUGUGCAUUUAGCCAGAUAGCCAUGAUGAAUUUCUGGCCAUUUUUGUUACAUGUGUUGUAAAGAGCAGAAUUUUGUUGUCAACAUUCUAUUUUUACAUGGUCAGAGAGGAGAAGGAGUAGAAUAGAGGUGUAAUUGACACUGUUUAUACAAAGCUGAAGUCGUAACUCUUGGCUGAGAUGACUGGAAGCGGUGUGUGAUGGCUUCUUUGUUGGCUCUUUAAGAAAACAUCUGCUCUGGGUCUCGUGGACAAAACCCAGGGUGAAAAAUUCUCACACUGCAAACUGAGAAGCCAGAUGAAAAGCCCAGAGAAGCUGUGGAUGCUCCACCUCUGGAGGUGCUCAAGGCCAGGUUGGAUGGGGUUCUGGGUUGCCUGAUCUGGUGGGUGGUAAACCUGCUCAUAGACCAGGGUUAGGACUGGAUGACCUUUGAGGAUGUUUUCAGCCUAAGCUGUUCUAUGGCUUUCUCCAUUAGCAUCCAGCACUCAAGGAACAGGGCUGCUUUGGAAAUGAAUGUCAGAAUAAGGAAAAUAGGCUUUUUGUACUCACAAAAAUCAAAUGCUCAAGAAGAAUGAGGGUGAGAGUCAAAGCUAUUAAAACACUUCCUGGGACAGUAUUUUGGUUUUCAGCAGCUUUCUCUUCUGUUUUGUUUCAAUUUCUUCUAAACCCCAUCCUCCGAGUGGUAUGAAAUAAAAAAUAGUAAUAAAUAGAUUUUUCUGUACAGGAAAAAUUCAAAAAUAAAUAAAUGAAUAACAUUUUAAUUACAUUUUUCUGCAAAGGCUCUUUACUUCUUUAAGUACACAGAAAUGCUUAUGAUAUGUGGUCAUAGAUGGGGUCAUAGAUGUGGUCAACUCCUCUAAUGCCCUACAGUAUGGUUUACAACGUGAUUCAGUAAAUGGGGCAAAGUCAACACGGUGGGGCUGGGUGCCCUACAUGAGAAGAUGCAGAGAAUGUGUCAGAAAGAAGAUCACAGAGCUGUAAAUGGUUUGGGAAAAGAGAGAGAUGAGGCAUGUGGGGUUGAGGUCUUGGGUUAAGGUAGACAAAGGACUGUAGGAGGUGACAGAUGAACCCAAAGGCAUUUUGCAUCUGAAGCAGGCCAGAUGGGCUAACAAAGUCAGCAGUAGAACACAGUUGUCAGUGGCUUCAGACAGUGACCUCUAGAUGAAACAAACUGUACAAAAGGAGCUCAGGGUAUGCAAGUAGGUGAAGGACAAUCCUCAUCAGCAAUAGGCUUGGCAUCCAUUUGGUUGUGUUUUCAUACAGAUAAGGUGGGGCAGACAGGCUCUACAAAGCAACAUGUGCUCUUGCCUUAUCCCAUCUCUGUUAUUCUCCUUGCUGUAGGCUGAUGCUUUGGACCCAGAUAAACCAAGUGGAAUGGAGAUCAGAGCCCUGGGUUUUUCCCUGCAGAGCAGCAACUGGUGCCAUUUCUGGCUUAUACUCUAUUUUUCUCUUCCUAGUGAGGGACUUUUGUUAUUUAUCAGCUCCUUCUUUCAAAACAGCAACCUGGAAAAUUUCACAACACUUUUCAGAUAUGGCUACUCUGCCUGUGGCUCUCCACAGCUUAGCUGUUUCAGUGAUAUCUGCAGAGCAACGAGCAACAGCAUUCCUGUCCUAAAGGAGAAGUGAGUGCCUCAAACCUCCUCACUUUUCUCCAUAUGCUUUUUUUGCUCCUAAAAAACCCCAGGCCUCUCUCUCCGUUCCUGCCAGUCACAUGGCAGACCGGAUGUCCCUAGCAGCACACCUGGGCUUGAAUCGAUCUUUCUUCUUUUUCUGUGUGUGUGUGUUGUCAUUCAAUGCAUGGCCAGAACCAAGGGCAAACUCCAGUUGGGAGAUUUCUUUUAGAGCCUGUGGGAAAGGGCCUGAAGCUGGGUGUACUGCAGGAUAGAGCAGCAUCAACUGCACAUCUGGAGGGACCCUCGAGACUGCGACUUUCGCUGCCAGAUAAAGCCUUCUUUGUAAGUAGUAAUUGGUUCUAUCUUUUAUUUUCAUGAUUUUUAGUUUCCAUUUCCAUCACCAUCACUAAUUAAUUAAUUGGCGUGUUUAUUUAUUCAUUUUCAUUUACUUUCUAUUCCGGAGAUCAGACUGGAGCAAUCAGCCCCCACCUGAUACCAGGCAGGGUGCAAAACAGGAUGUCAGAAGCCAGAGCCUGCUUAUCGAUAGCUGUGAGAGAUCCUUGCUGAGUCAGAUAGGGGAAGGAUGAGAUAAUUUCUGAUGUUUUUUUUCUUUUUUUCUUUAAUCAUAUUUAUUUAUUUACUUGUUUGUUUAUUUUGCAGUUGCUGAGCUUGUAACCUGUUCCCUGGUACCGUACGCCAGCACGUAUCAUCUUGCCCUCAUAAAGCUUUGUUGAUCUCCAUCCAACUCGUUGGACUGAGCGUGUGGGAAGCAUGUGAGGGACUCUCAUGAGCAGCCUCACGUUCUCUGAGCUGCUUUUUCCCCUGGGGCUAAAGCUUUCCCCAAAGUGCUCAGUCCAUUUCAGCUCAGAGGUGAUGGCCUGAAACCUGCAGAGCUGGUGGUGAGAUGGGAACAAGCUCUCUUUGUGAGGCUGCUCCAGCUUGCUGGGUGCACUGAAUGAAAUCUUUCAUUCGGUUCCUCAGAGAGUACAGGAAGAUCCUCAGCUUU
This is a long non-coding RNA of Tympanuchus pallidicinctus (lesser prairie-chicken), 3530 nucleotides long. RefSeq lists it as uncharacterized. The record is from RefSeq and is a predicted model, not a curated record. The transcript is spliced from 4 exons. Lineage: Eukaryota; Metazoa; Chordata; Aves; Galliformes; Phasianidae.